Molecule: ribosomal RNA, 551 nt
Filed under: uncultured bacterium
Lineage: Bacteria
Description: bacterial SSU rRNA
Rfam family: Bacterial small subunit ribosomal RNA
Source: RNAcentral
AAUAGAUACCCGGGUAGUCCACGCCGUAAACGAUGAGUGCUAAGUGUUAGGGGGUUUCCGCCCCUUAGUGCUGCAGCUAACGCAUUAAGCACUCCGCCUGGGGAGUACGGUCGCAAGACUGAAACUCAAAGGAAUUGACGGGGGCCCGCACAAGCGGUGGAGCAUGUGGUUUAAUUCGAAGCAACGCGAAGAACCUUACCAGGUCUUGACAUCCCAUUGACCACUAUGGAGACAUAGUUUUCCCUUCGGGGACAACGGUGACAGGUGGUGCAUGGUUGUCGUCAGCUCGUGUCGUGAGAUGUUGGGUUAAGUCCCGCAACGAGCGCAACCCUUGUUCUUAGUUGCCAUCAUUUAGUUGGGCACUCUAAGGAGACUGCCGGUGACAAACCGGAGGAAGGUGGGGAUGACGUCAAAUCAUCAUGCCCCUUAUGACCUGGGCUACACACGUGCUACAAUGGACGGUACAAACGGUUGCCAACCCGCGAGGGGGAGCUAAUCCGAUAAAACCGUUCUCAGUUCGGAUUGUAGGCUGCAACUCGCUACAUGAAGCC